CUGAGUUCUAAAGGCAAUGAUCAGAUAUUCACAGUAUCCAUCCCAUUAAGAUUACUUCAAAUGGGAGCAUUGAUUGGUCCUAUGUUCAUAAGUGCUUCUCUUUGGGGUAGUAGUACUGAGGAAAUGAAGAGCAACCAAAGCUUCACCUAUGUUCUAUUUCAUAUAGUUUUUUAUUUAUUUAAUUAGUAUUUCUUAUUUUGCAGAUAUAUGCCUCUGGUCCAAACUUGUAACUGUAAAUGCUGAAUAAAAGUGAAAAAAUUGGACACAAUUAUGCAUCCUCCUCUGUGGCCAACUUUUCAAAUCCUUGCCUCCUUGAGUGAAAAGCAGCUGAUGUCUACUCUAACUUUAGCAUCUUUCUUUUCAACCAAAGCAGAAAGUGCUAUCAAGUUGGGGUAAAUGUUUUCUGAUUGACUUCCCAGUGUCCAACUGGUCUGUAUUUAGUUUCAUUUGAAGGAGACUCCGUCGUUGACUACAAAGAGAAGCAUCUGUCAUUCCAUGUAAGAAUAAGUGCUUUACUUUGGGACUGCCUUGCUGGUGUUUGUUCAUCAGUGGGUUUGCCCAUUGCCUUGAUUACAACAGAAUCCAAAUUUAAACACUAGAAGGUGCUGUUUUUUCCAAAGUUUUGGCAUGGUAAUCAUUGAUUUUGUGCACGGUGUGUUUCUAUGCUUUAACAAGGACUGUCAUAAUGUUCUUCUUUCAGAAAACAUUAUAAUAGUUGAAUUUGCAUGAAAUGCUUUAAAUGUGUGAAAAGUCCACCCAUGCUCAAGAAUGCUGAGGCAUCCCAAAUAUAUUAACAGGGAACUCAAAGAUUAAUGGCCUUUCAAAACUACCCAAGUACCAACGACCACAGCAAAGCCAAAGAGCCAUAAACAUAUUUAUAAUGGGUGCUGUUAACAAAACUGCUCAGAUCAGCUCACCUUGACUGCAGGCAGCAUGCUCCUGGUAUCUCUGGCUGGAAAUGUCCUCAUCUGAUUCCACAGACUUGUAGUCUUCGAAAUGGAAAAUAUUUUGAUUUGUCACUAUCGGUACCCUCAUAAUGGCACUGACUUGUCUGUUGUAAUAGGUAAGUGCUAUUUGUUGGGGUAGUUUCAAGUGACGAGUGCUUCAGGACAUAAUUCAUUUUCUGGGACGUCAAACUGAGUUCUAAAGGCAAUGAUCAGAUAUUCACAGUAUCCAUCCCAUUAAGAUUACUUCAAAUGGGAGCAUUGAUUGGUCCUAUGUUCAUAAGUGCUUCUCUUUGGGGUAGUAGUACUGAGGAAAUGAAGAGCAACCAAAGCUUCACCUAUGUUCUAUUUCGUAUAGUUUUUUAUUUAUUUAAUUAGUAUUUCUUAUUUUGCAGAUAUAUGCCUCUGUUCCAAACUUGUAACUGUAAAUGCUGAAUAAAAGUGAAAAAAUUGGACACAAUUAUGCAUCCUCCUCUGUGGCCAACUUUUCAAAUCCUUGCCUACUCGAGUGAAAAGCAGCUGAUGUCUACUCUAACUUUAGCAUCUUUCUUUUCAACCAAAGCAGAAAGUGCUAUCAAGUUGGGGUAAAUGUUUGCUGACUGACUUCCCAGUGUCCAACUGGUCUGUAUUUAGUUUCAUUUGAAGGAGACUCCCUCGAUGACUACAAAGAGAAGCAUCUGUCAUUCCAUGUAAGAAUAAGUGCUUUACUUUGGGACUGCCUUGCUGGUGUUUGUUCAUCAGUGGGUUUGCCCAUUGCCUUGAUUACAACAGAAUCCAAAUUUAAACACUAGAAGGUGCUGUUUUUCCCAAAGUUUUGGCAUGGUAAUCAUUGAUUUUGUGCAUGGUGUGUUUCUAUGCUUUAACAAGGACUGUCAUUAUGUUCUUCUUUCAGAAAACAUUAUAAUAGUUGAAUUUGCAUGAAAUGCUUUAAAUGUGUGAAAAGUCCACCCAUGCUCAAGAAUGCUGAGGCAUUCCAAAGAUAUUAACAGGGAAAUCAAAGAUUAAUGGCCUUUCAAAACUACCCAAGUACCAACGACCACAGCAAAGCCAAAGAGCCAUAGACAUAUUUAUAAUGGGUGCUGUUAACAAAACUGCUCAGAUCAGCUCACCUCGACUGCAGGCAGCAUGCUCCUGGUAUCUCUGGCUGGAAAUGUCCUCAUCUGAUUCCACAGACUUGUAGUCUUCGAAAUGGAAAAUAUUUUGAUUUGUCACUAUCGGUA
Carassius gibelio (silver crucian carp) is the source of this 2164-nucleotide long non-coding RNA. RefSeq lists it as uncharacterized. The transcript is spliced from 2 exons. NCBI's taxonomy places the organism in Eukaryota, Metazoa, Chordata, Actinopteri, Cypriniformes, Cyprinidae. The record is from RefSeq and is a predicted model, not a curated record.